This 102-nucleotide small RNA is filed under the name Aotus nancymaae (Ma's night monkey). RNAcentral's name for it is "Y RNA (ENSANAG00000007077.1)". The record is from RNAcentral. Lineage: Eukaryota; Metazoa; Chordata; Mammalia; Primates; Aotidae.
GGCUGGUCCAAGUACAGUAGCGUUGAAAACGUAUUGAUCACAACCAGUUACUGAUUUCUCUUUUCCUUCACUACUCCAGUUGUUUACAUUGACUAGCAUAAA